UACGUAGGGAGCAAGCGUUGUCCGGAAUCAUUGGGCGUAAAGCGCGCGUAGGUGGCCUCAUAAGUCCGCUGUGAAAGUCAAAGGCUCAACCUUUGAAAGCCGGUGGAUACUGUGGGGCUAGAGUACGGAAGAGGCGAGUGGAAUUCCUGGUGUAGCGGUGGAAUGCGCAGAUAUCAGGAGGAACACCGGUGGCGAAGGCGGGUCUCUGGGCAGUAACUGACGCUGAGGAGCGAAAGCGUGGGGAGCGAACAGG
RNAcentral lists this ribosomal RNA (253 nucleotides) under uncultured bacterium. RNAcentral describes it as "partial 16S ribosomal RNA". It matches the Rfam family "Bacterial small subunit ribosomal RNA", at positions 524 to 776 of the family's 1533-position model. The record is from RNAcentral.